GGUUCGAUUAUGGCUCCAGAUUGAACGCUGGCGGGAUGUGCUUUACACAUGCAAGUCGAACGGCGGCACGGACUUUGGUCCUGGUGGCGAGUGGCGAACGGGUGAGUAAUGUAUCGGAACGUGCCUAGUAGCGGGGGAUAACUUCGCGAAAGCGUAGCUAAUACCGCAUACGCCCUUCGAGGGGAAAGCGGGGGGACCUUCGGGCCUCGCACUAUUAGAGCGGCCGAUAUCGGAUUAGCUAGUUGGUGGGGUAACGGCUCGCAAGGCGACGUCCGUAGCUGGUUUGAGAGGACGACCAGCCAGCGUUCAAUCUGAGCCAUAAUCGAACC
This 329-nucleotide unclassified non-coding RNA is filed under the name uncultured Bordetella sp. RNAcentral describes it as "partial 16S-23S ribosomal RNA intergenic spacer". It matches the Rfam family "Bacterial small subunit ribosomal RNA", at positions 10 to 336 of the family's 1533-position model. Lineage: Bacteria; Pseudomonadati; Pseudomonadota; Betaproteobacteria; Burkholderiales; Alcaligenaceae. The record is from RNAcentral.